ACCAGCCGCGGUAAUUCCAGCUCCAAUAGCGUAUAUUAAAGUUGUUGCGGUUAAAAAGCUCGUAGUUGAAUUUCGGGAUUGACUCGAUGGUCGUGCCUUAAGGGGUAUGAACUGUCGUUGUUGAUUUCUCACCUUCUGGAGAAGCUCGAUGUCCUUAAUUGGAUGUCUUGUGGAACCAGGACCUUUACCUUGAAAAAAUUAGAGUGUUUAAAGCAGGCAUUUUGCUCGAAUACAUUAGCAUGGAAUAAUAGAAUAGGACGGCAUGGUUCUAUUUUGUU
This 278-nucleotide ribosomal RNA is filed under the name Glomeromycota sp. Its description in RNAcentral is "partial small subunit ribosomal RNA". It matches the Rfam family "Eukaryotic small subunit ribosomal RNA", at positions 569 to 845 of the family's 1831-position model. The record is from RNAcentral. Lineage: Eukaryota; Fungi; Glomeromycota.